GAUGAAGAACGUAGCGAAAUGCGAUAAGUAAUGUGAAUUGCAGAAUUCAGUGAAUCAUCGAAUCUUUGAACGCACCUUGCGCCCUUUGGCUAUUCUGAAGGGCAUGCCUGUUUGAGUAUCGUGAACACCUCAACUCUCAUGGUCUGCCAUGAUGAGCUUGGACUUUGGGGGUCUUGCUGGCCUACUGUCAGCUCCUCUCAAAUGAAUCAGCUUACCAGUGUUUGGUGGCACCACAGGUGUAAUAACUAUCUACGCUUGUGGUUUUCUGCCAGGUAACCUCCAGUGAUGGAGGUUCGCUGGAGCUCACAAAUGUCUCUCCUCAGCGAGGACAGCUUUUUGAACGUUUGAUCUCAAAUCAGGUAGGACUACCCGCUGAACUUAAGCAUAUCAAUAAGCGGAGGA
RNAcentral lists this unclassified non-coding RNA (402 nucleotides) under soil metagenome. Its description in RNAcentral is "partial contains 5.8S ribosomal RNA, internal transcribed spacer 2, and large subunit ribosomal RNA". The stretch from base 1 to 121 matches the Rfam family "5.8S ribosomal RNA", at positions 35 to 154 of the family's 154-position model. The record is from RNAcentral.